This 113-nucleotide non-coding RNA is filed under the name pig gut metagenome. Its description in RNAcentral is "Aggregatibacter sRNA 54". It matches the Rfam family "Aggregatibacter sRNA 54". From Rfam's summary of the family: Validated by RT-PCR, expression up-regulated during growth. The record is from RNAcentral.
GCGUAUUAUGCGCUCGAUUUUUUUACUUGAGGACACACACUUUGGACAGUCAUAGUCGAUACCGACUUUCACUUUAAACUGUCGCCUGUCUUUUGACUUAUCGGCGACACGUU